RNAcentral lists this ribosomal RNA (492 nucleotides) under uncultured bacterium. Its description in RNAcentral is "partial 16S ribosomal RNA". It matches the Rfam family "Bacterial small subunit ribosomal RNA", at positions 29 to 507 of the family's 1533-position model. The record is from RNAcentral.
AGUGAACGCUGGCGGUAGGCCUAACACAUGCAAGUCGAACGGCAGCACAGUAAGAGCUUGCUCUUACGGGUGGCGAGUGGCGGACGGGUGAGGAAUACAUCGGAAUCUACUUUUUCGUGGGGGAUAACGUAGGGAAACUUACGCUAAUACCGCAUACGACCUACGGGUGAAAGCAGGGGAUCUUCGGACCUUGCGCGAUUGAAUGAGCCGAUGUCGGAUUAGCUAGUUGGCGGGGUAAAGGCCCACCAAGGCGACGAUCCGUAGCUGGUCUGAGAGGAUGAUCAGCCACACUGGAACUGAGACACGGCCCAGACUCCUAUGGGAGGCAGCAGUGGGGAAUAUUGGACAAUGGGCGCAAGCCUGAUCCAGCCAUACCGCGUGGGUGAAGAAGGCCUUCGGGUUGUAAAGCCCUUUUGUUGGGAAAGAAAAGCAGCAGGUUAAUACCCCGCUGUUCUGACGGUACCCAAAGAAUAAGCACCGGCUAACUUCGUG